Molecule: ribosomal RNA, 490 nt
Filed under: uncultured bacterium
Lineage: Bacteria
Description: partial 16S ribosomal RNA
Rfam family: Bacterial small subunit ribosomal RNA
Source: RNAcentral
AUUGAACGCUGGCGGCAGGCCUAACACAUGCAAGUCGAACGGUAACAGGAAGAAGCUUGCUUCUUUGCUGACGAGUGGCGGACGGGUGAGUCAUGUCUGGGAAACUGCCUGAUGGAGGGGGAUAACUACUGGAAACGGUAGCUAAUACCGCAUAACGUCGCAAGCCCAAAGAGGGGGACAUUCGGGCCUCUUGCCAUCGGAUGUGCCCAGAUGGGAUUCGCUAGUAGGUGGGGUAACGGCUCACCUAGGCGACGAUCCCUAGCUGGUCUGAGAGGAUGACCAGCCACACUGGAACUGAGACACGGUCCAGACUCCUACGGGAGGCAGCAGUGGGGAAUAUUGCACAAUGGGCGCAAGCCUGAUGCAGCCAUGCCGCGUGUAUGAAGAAGGCCUUCGGGUUGUAAAGUACUUUCAGCGGGGAGGAAGGGAGUAAAGUUAAUACCUUUGCUGAUUGACGGUACCCGCAGAAGAAGCACCGGCUAACUCCGUG